UUAUAACAACUGUUUCUUAACUUACACAUGCAAGUUUCAGCACACCCGUGAGAACGCCCUUUCAACCUCCACCAGGCUGAGGAGCUGGUAUCAGGCCCAACCCAUUUUGCCCAUGACACCUAGUCUUACCACACCCCCAAGGGAAAUCAGCAGUGAUAAAUUUUGGGUAUAAGCGAAAGCUUGACUCAGUUAAAGAAAAGAGAGCCGGCUAACCUGGUGCCAGCUGCCGCGGCUAAACCAGGGACUCAAAUUGUUAAUCAUCGGCGUCAAGCGUGAUUAAAGUUACCUAAAAAUUAGGGUUAAACUAAUACUAAGUAGUCAUAAGCCUGCUAUUAGGAAAGCCGCAAACGAAAGUUAUCCUAAUCUAUUACUUGAACACACGACAGCUAAGAACCCAAACUGGGAUUAGAUACCCCACUAUGCUUAGCCGUAAAUAUUAAAUUACACUAACCAACGCCAAGGUAUUACGAGCCUUGCUUAAAACCUAAAGGACUUGACGGUGUCCCAUCCACCUAGAGGAGCCUGUUCUGUAAUCGAUAUUCCCCGCUCCACCCGACCAUUCCUUGCUAUGUCAGUCUGUAUACCUCCGUCGAAAGCCUACCAUGUGAACGCUUAUAGUGGGCUCAAUGGCUAUCCACCAAUACGCCAGGUCAAGGUGCAACUUAUGGAAUGGAGAGAAAUGGGCUACAGUUUCUAAAAUAGAACAAACGAAAAACUAUGUGAAAUCAUACUUAUGAAGGCGGAUUUAGAAGUAAAAAGAAAGUAGAGUGUUCUUUUUAAUCUGGCCCUGGGACGCGUACACACCGCCCGUCACCCUCUUCAACAGUCAAAUACUCAGUUCUUAACUUAAUCACCACACCUUAGAAGAGGCAAGUCGUAA
This 880-nucleotide non-coding RNA is filed under the name Wijayarana sp. 1 UA-2020. Its description in RNAcentral is "Ranidae gen. n. sp. 1 UA-2020 partial small subunit ribosomal RNA". It matches the Rfam family "Bacterial small subunit ribosomal RNA". Lineage: Eukaryota; Metazoa; Chordata; Amphibia; Anura; Ranidae. The record is from RNAcentral.